RNAcentral lists this long non-coding RNA (7858 nucleotides) under Homo sapiens (human). RNAcentral describes it as "HSALNT0230475". Lineage: Eukaryota; Metazoa; Chordata; Mammalia; Primates; Hominidae. The record is from RNAcentral.
CCUGUUCAUACCAUCUGGAGUGGAAAAUCUUCAUAAUUACAGGGAUUGGUAGACUAUUCAAGAGUCUUGCCUCACAGUGGAGAAAAUUUUACCCUAGACUAAAUGUUGCUCUGCUCUCUCCUUACAAAGCUUAAAGGAAGACCCAAUAGGAUAAAAUUGUUUUCAAGUCACUUAACUGCAUCCUAGAAUGAACUCAAGUAUAUUUAUAGGAAUACAAUAAUGUACAGCCCUCAACAAGAGAAAUUUCACGAAGCUUGGCACACAUUCAAGAAUAACGAGGCAUGCAAAGAAGUAGGACAAAUGCAACCAUAAUACAGAGAAAAGCCAAUCAAACAGACCCAGUAAUGACACUGAUGAUGGAGUUAGUAGACAAGGCCAUUAAAACAGUCAUUAUAACUGCGUUCCAUAUGUUUGAGAAACUUGAACGUGAUAAGUAGAGACAUGGAAGAUAAUUUUGUUGCCUGGGCUUACCCUUCAGACUCUGCUUCUUGAACAGUGUCAGUGGCUGUAAUCUCAGUUCAGAUCUUUCAUCUUUAACUGAGCUGCUUUGAGUCUUCUGCAUAGGUGUGGUUUGAGAGUCGGUCAGACUGGGUACACAGAAUGGCCCCCACCACCGCAAUUCUCUUCAGUGUUCAUAGUAGUCCAGCUUCAAUUUUCUGGUUCCCCAGGCCAGAAAGAAGGGAUGCUUGUUUGUCCACAUGCACCCCAACAGCUGCUGUGUGCACUAUAUGGAGCCACAGAGAUGGGACCUUUCCUGGGCAACUUCUCAUCUCCCCUGUCCAAGUACACUGGAACCAACUGGAAGAGCACUAAAUUGUCAAAGCUGGAACAUUUUGAGCAACAAAAUAAAUAAAGUAGUAUAGAGUGAUAGCCUAAUGUGUAAACUAAAUAACCAUGAAUUCAUUCUGAUAUAAAUAAAUGAUUGAAUAAAUAAAUGAUUGGGGGAAAAUAGAUAAAUCUCCCUGGAGAAUUCCAAAUAAUCUACAUAGCAACUCUAGCCUUGAGUAUAUAUGGAAACUAACUACCCACCUCUUCAGUGUGGGCUGUGCCUAGUGACUUCCUUCCACAAAGUAUAGAACAGACAGGGGAAGGAUGGAGAGCAACCUUACAGUGGAGAAACAUGACAGGCGCUACUUCAUCCAUGUGAUCAGGGUUAGCAUCUGCAUGAUAGCUCAUGCCAAUAGUAUGUCCCCUUGAUAUAAUGUACUGGGAGUGGCACUUUACCUCUGCAGUACUCUCCCAAAAACUCCAGUCUAAUCGUGAGAAAAAUAUCAGACAAAUAUCACUGGAGGGGCCCUGCAAACUAUCUGACUAGUACUCAAAUCUCUCAAGGUUGACACAUCAGCAAAAAUGUCAGAAUAAGGACCUGCCAAAGCUCUCUCUCCAUAAAUGCAAUGUUUAAAACUGGCAAAAAUCAUCAUCAGUCAACUCUUUCAAAACCCUGGAAAUUAAUAUCAGGCUUGCAGCAACUUUGAAAGCAUUUAGCCAAAAAUGCUUUCAAACAAACAAAAACUCUGAAUCUCAGUAAGAACAGCAAGCCUUGUGGCAUUUUAGCUUCUUAUUUCCAUUCCACAUUCUACAGCACUGGGGAAGCCUUGAAAAAUAACAGCCUGCACUCCUGGUAUAAGAAGGGGCAGAAUGCACUUAUAAGUGGGAGCUGAGUGAUAAGGACACAUGGAUACAUUAGGGGCACAACACACACUAGGGCCUGUCUGAGGGGAGGGGAUGGGGGUAGGGAGAGCAUCAGGAAGAAUAGCUAAUGGAUGCUGUGCUUAAUACCUGAGUGAUGGGAUGAUCUGUGCAGCAAACCACAAUGGCACAUAUUUACCUAUGUAACAACCUGCAUAUCCUACACAUGUAACCCUGAACUUAAAAUAAAAGUUGAAGAGAAAAAGAAAGAAGGAGAAGAAUGGGGCUGGAACUCUUUCUCAAAGCCUCAGUACCAAAAAGAAGUCAUUAUUUGACCAUUCUAGUUGUUUCUUGGAAGACCUCACUCAAAGGUUUGUCUUUAUUUGACUUCACUAGAAUUAUCCCAGUGCUAGAAGUUUCUCUCUGGAAGACAUUUGUCAAAUGUUUUAAAAUCUUGGCUACUUCAGGCAAUGGAUAACAGUUGGGGCAAACAAUAGACUAAUCCACAGCUUAAAAGGAAAGGCUGAGGAAUGAGAUUUCCAUAGAUGCCAAAAGACCACGGACUAGACAUGGAGCUGUGCACAUGCUCAGGAAAGACCUGAGACUUGAGGCUCUAAGCUCUCAAAGCAGAAUGAUUUUGAGGCUUUGUGAAAGCAGAAAGUGAAAGCUGAGGCAGAGUUGUAAAUUGCUUUGCUGAGUUUUGAAGCUGUGCUUCAACGUGCACUCAGAACCCACUGGCAAAUACACAGAGACUUAUUGGCUCCAGGCAUUUAAGGUAAUGUCUGUCUAAUCAGCUGACCACUAAGCUAAUCAAGUAGAGACUUCAGUGUUCACGUAUGAAAAAGAUAGACUUUAGAGGAUUCGUUCAGAAGUCACUAAAUAGAUAAUAUAAACUACAACAAGCAGCACCAGCAAACCCUGGGUAAUGGAGAGAAUCUGAUUUCCAGAGUUACCAUAUUUAUUAUUUGAAAUGUCCAAUUUUCAACAAAAAAUUAUGAUAUGCACAAAAGAAGCUAUGAUCCAUACAUAGGAAUCAAAUGAAAAUUGUCUCUGAGGAAAUCCAGACUUUGGACUUACUACACCAGCUAUUUUAAAUAUGUUCAAAAAGUAAAACAAACAAACAAAACACCAUGUCUAAAGACCAAAAGGAAUCAGAAGAGCAAUGUGUCCCCAAAGAGAAAAUAUCAAUAAAGGGAUAGUAAUUAUAAAAAGGAACCAAGUAAAAAAGCUGGAGUUAAAAGCGUAACUGAAAUGAAAAAGUCAUUAGAUGGGCUCAAUAUAGGAUGUAAUGCAGAUGUAAGCAGGCAGAAGAAAGAAUCAGUAAAUGUGAAAAAUAGCUCAAUUAAUAUUAUUCUUUCUGAGGAAUAGAAAGAAAAAAGAAUGUAGAAAAAUGAACAGAGCCUCAAAGACCUAUGGAACCCUGUCAAGCACACCAACACAAGCAUAAUGAGAGUCUCAGACAGAGAGAGGGGGAGAGGAAGAAAGAGAAGAGAGGACGGGCAAGGGCAGAAAAAUAUUUGAAUAAAUAAUGAGUGAAAACUUCCCAAAUUUAAUGAAAGACAUUGAAUCUACACAUCUAAGAAGCUCAAUGAACUCUACAUAGUAUAAACUCAGAGAUACACAUCUAGACACACCUUAAAUGGUCAAAAGACAAAGAGGGAAUAUUGAAAGCAGCAAGAGGAAAGUGACUCUUAACAAAUGAGGAAUCCUCAAUAAGAUUAACAGCUGAUUUCUCAUCAGAAACCUUGGAUAUUAGCAGGCAAUGCUAUGACAUAUUGAAAAUGCUAAAGACAAAAACUGUUAAUCAAAAAUUCUAUAUCCAGAAAAACUCUUUAGAAAAAUGAAGGGGAAUUCUAGACAUUUCCAGUUAAACAAAAACUGAGAGAGUUCAUUACUAGUAGAUCCACUCUACAAGAAAUACUGAAGAAAGUCCUUCAGGCUGGAAUGAAAGGAUAUAGGACAGUAACUCAAAUCCACAUGAAGAAAUAAAGCAUAUCAGUAAAGUUAACCACACAGUUAAAUAUAAAUGACAUUUUAAAUGUAUUUUUUGUUUGUAACUCCAUUUUUUUCCUGUCUGAUUUAAAAGACAACUGCAUAAGGCAAUAAUUAUAAACCUGAGUUGAUGGGCACACAGUGUAUAAAGAUGUAAUUUUGGACAAAAACAUAAAGAAAAGGGGAAAAGAGAUAUAUAGGAGCAAGGUCUGUAUACGUUAUUGAAAAUAAGUUGGUAUUAAGCUGAAUUCUCUUGUUAUAAAUUAAGAUUUUAAUGGUAAUUUUCAGGGCAACCACCAAGACAAAACUCAAAAAUCUAUAGUAAAAGAAGUGAUCAUGGAAUUUAAAUGAUUCACUGAAAAUGUCUAGCACAAAAGAAGGAGGUAAUGAAGGAAAUGAGAACCAAAAAAUACAUGGAAUAUAGAAUACAAGUAGUAAAAUGGCAGACAUAAAUCCUACCUUAUCAGUAACUACAUUAACUGUACAUGGAUUAAAUGAUCCAAUUAAAGAUACGGAUUGGCUGAAUGGAUUUUUAAACUAUGAUUCAACUAUAUGCUACCUACAAGAGACUCAUUUUACAUUCAAAGACGAAUAGGUUGAAAGUAAAAUAUAAAGAAAGCUAGACCAUGAAAACAGUAACGAAAAGAGAGCUGGAGUUGCUAUACUAAUAUGAGACAAAAUAUUCUUUAAGACAAUAUUAUUACUAUAGACAAAUUGUAACAACUUAUUUAGGAGUGUAUUGUUUACUUUCCAAAUAUGUGUGAAUUUUUCAAAUUUCCUUCUGUUAUUGAUCUCUAAUUUCACUCCAUUGUGGUCAGAAAACAUACUUUGUAUGAUCUCAAUUCUUUUAAGUCCGCUGAGACUUAUUUUAUGGCCUAACGUGUAUUCUAUCCUGAUAAAUGCUCUAUACGCACUUGCAAAGUAUAUGUAUUCUGCUGUCAUUGAGUGGAGGGCUGUAUAAAUAUGUAUGUAUGUAUGUAUGUUAGGUCUGGUUGGUCUAUAAUGGUGUUCAAGUUUUAUAUUUCCUUUUUUAUCUUUUACUUAGUUGUUCUAUCCAUUAUUGAAAAUGGAGUAUUGAAAUCUCCAACAAUUCUGCCACUGAUGGGAGAAAUAGCAGAAGGAAGGAAAUAAUAAACAUUAAAGUGAAACUAAAUUAAGAGUGGAAAAAAUAAAAAUCAAUGAAACCAAAAGCUAGUUAUAUGGAAAAAUCAAUGAAACCAGAAGCUAGUUAUAUGGAAAAAUCAACAAAAUUGAAAACUUUGAUCUAGACUGACAAAGAAAAACAGAGUAAAAUUACUAAAUCAGGAAUGAAAGAGAGGACAUUACUAUCAACCUUACGAAACCAAAAUAAUUAUAAGGGGAUACUAUCAACAAAUGUAUAUCAACAAACUAUAUAACUUAGGGGAAGCUUGUCUCUUUGUAGAAACCAGGUGGCUUCCUUGAUGAAUUCUACAAAACAUUUAAAUACAUGAAUUCACACCAAUUCUUCACAAAGUCUUUCAAAAAAAUAGAAGAGGAAGGCCAGGCACAGUGGCUCACACCUGUAAUCCAGUGCUUUGGGAAGCCAAGGAAGGAGAACUGCUUGAGGUCAGGAGUUCAAGACCAGCCUGGACAACAUCAUGAGACCCUGUCUCUAUAAAAAAUUUAAAAAUUAGCCAGAUGUGGUAGCAAGCACCUGUAGUCCCAGCUACUCAGUUGGCUGAGGCAGGAAGACCACUGGAGCCCAAGAGUUUGAGCCUGCAGUGAGCUAUGAUUGUGCCACUGCACUACAGUCUGCAUGACAGGGCAAGACCCUGUCUCUCUAAAAAAAAAAAAAAGAAAAAGAAAGAAAAAAAGAAAAAAAAAAAGGAAGAUUCAUUAUCCUAAUACCAAAACAAGACAAAGACAUCACAAGAAAAGGAAAUUACAUGGAAAUGGGUGCAGAGGUCCUCAAAAAAGUACUAGGAAACCAAAUCCAGCAGCAUAUAAAAAGGAUUAUAAAUCCUGACCAACUAGAAUUUAUCCCAGGAAUCCAAGGUCGGCUCAAUAUCUGAAAAUUAAUCAACGUAAUACAUUUCAUCAAUAGAAUAAUAAACAAAAACCAAAUGAUUACCUCAAUAAAUGCUGAAAACCAUUUGACAAAAUCCAGCACCCUUUCACAACAAACUAGUUUUAGGGCUCAGAAAAUGAUACCCCAAAGUGAAGGCCUCAGAGCAAGCCUCAGAAGUAAGGUUUCUCUCUGACCUUCUGCCCUCCUGUCUCUCACCCCUCUUUCUCUCCAGCAAGCCAUAGAAAUUAGAAUUCCUCUUUCCCAAGGUGGAUCAUAGAAUGCUUUUUCCCAGAAGCUAGUUAUAAAACAUGAAAACAUUACUCUAAUCUUCCCCCCACCUUUCUGUGUAAAAGCUGGCCAUAAAGAAAUUAUAUAACCUACCUUGUUUGAUAGUAAAUCAUAAGACCCCCAUUCCAGAAAGGGAUGCCUCAUACCUGAGAAGAAUUAAUGCUGUAUAGAGAGAGUCCAAGAAGAAUGUGAAUAGUCAGGCUGGGUUUCCCCACCUCAAUCUACUAGCAUUAAAUCAGAGCCUUGAUGUUCAAUCAUAUUUCUAUACUGCUGUUCUUUCUUUACCAAAUCUAAGCAUAAAAAUGGAUAGUUUUCCCUGUAUCUUUGGGUCUUUAUUCUAAACCCUCCAGUGUUAUAUAAAACUAUAAUUAAAUAAGUCUGUUAUGCUUUUCUCUUUUUAACUUGUCUUUUGUUAUAGGAGUGUUGGCUGUGACCUUUAUGAUGUCAGGGGAAAGGGAUAAUCUUUUUGCCCCUAGACAAGGAAUACAAGGGCUCUUAUUUAACCUGAUGAAGGGCAUCUGGAAACCCACGGCUUACAUAAUACUUAAAGGCAAAAGACUGAGUCCUUUCCCCAAAUCAGAAAUAAGACAUGGAUGCCCACUCUCACCACUUCUAUUCAAUAUCAUAGUGGAGGUUCAAACCAGGUGAUUGGUCAAGACAAAGAAACGAAGGACAUCAAGACUGGAAAGGAAGAAGUAAAAUGAUUUCUAUUCAUGGAUGAUAUGAUCUUAGAGAAAACUCUAAAGCAUCCACAAAAAACUAUUAGCACUAAUAAACGAGUUCAGCAGGGGUGCAGGAUACAAGAUCAAAAUGCAAAAAUAAUUGUGUUUCUCUACUCUUUCUUUCUUUCUUUUUCUUUAAUUUUCUUUUCUUUUCUUUCUUUCUUUUUUUUUUUUUUUUUUUUUUGACAGAGAGUCUCACUCUAUUGCCCAGGCCAGAGUGCAGUGGUGCAAUCUUAGCUCACUGCAACCACCACCUUCUGGCUUCAAGCGAUUGCCCUGCCUCAGCCUCCCAAGCAGCUGAGAUUACAGGUGUGCACUACCACACCCGGCUAAUUUUUUUUUUUUUUAUAGUAGAGAUGGGGUUUCGCCAUGUUGGCCAGGCUGGUCUCGAACUCCUGACCUCAGGUGAUCCACACACAUCAGCCUCCCAAACUGUUGGGAUUACAGGCGUGAAAUACCAUGCCUGGCCUAUACUCUUCCAAUGAGAAAUUCAAAAGUGAAAUUAAGAAAAGCAAUUCCAUUUACAAUAGCAUGAAAAAGAAUAAAAUACUUAGAAAUAAAUCAAACAAAAGAAAUGCAAGAUUUGCACACUGAAAACUAUAAAACAUGAUGAAAGAAAUUAGCCUAAUUAUUCCUAAUAAUCAAAAAGUGAAAAUCACUCAAAUGUCUAUCAACUGAUGAAUGGAUAAACAAAAUAUAGUAUAUAUACAUAUACACAUUAGAAUGUUAUUCAGCCAUAAAAAGGAUUGAAGUAUGAUACCUGCUAUACUAUGAAUGCGUCUUGAAACCAUUAUGCUAAGUGAAAAAAUGCAGUUACAAAAGGCCACGUAUCAUAUUAUUCUUAUGUAUUUAAAAUAUCCAGAUUAGGCAACUCUAUAGAGAUGGAAAGUAAAUUAGUUGUCGCCUAAGGCUGAGGGGAUGAGGUGACUGGAGGGUGAUAAAGGGUACAGGGUUUCUUUCUAGGGUGAUUUAAAUGUUUUUAAAUUGAUUGUGAUGAUUAUUUCACAACUCUGUGAAUACUAAAAAACAUUGAACUGUACACUUCAAAUGGAUGAAUUGUAUGGCAUGUGAAUUAUAUCUCAAUAAAGAUGUUACCAAAAAAUAAACAACUGUCACGGUCAUCAAAAACAAGGAAAGUCUGAGAAACUGUCACAGCUAAGAGGAGACUGAGGACACUUGAUGACUUACUAUAAUGUGG